This is an RNA transcript of Arabidopsis thaliana (thale cress), 962 nucleotides long. RefSeq lists it as uncharacterized. NCBI's taxonomy places the organism in Eukaryota, Viridiplantae, Streptophyta, Magnoliopsida, Brassicales, Brassicaceae. The transcript has a single exon. The record is from RefSeq.
CAGCAAAUUUCUGAUUCUCUGUAACCUCCGAUUACAAAGAUGAUCGAAUCGAUGUUCAUAAAACACCCAAACAAUCCACUAGAUCUCGAAGUGAGAUUUCUAGCCACAAAAUGUUCUCAGAGAUUCUAAGGAAUUACAGAUAUUCGAUAAAAGUAAAGGAAUGAGCUAAAACAGUGCUCAUAUAGUCGGCUAACGGCAUCUUUCAGUCCCUCACUCUGCAGAUGACACGUGCUCGCCUCUUAUUCUUUCCCAAUUCCCACUUGAUGUCGCACGUGACUACUCACACGUGUGGUUUUGUAUCAUACUUGUUGGAUAAGUUGUGUUGUUUCACUGAAAAGUCACAAAUAGGAAGUGACACACCAACAAGUUUCAGUUCAAUAAAGGGUUAUUUUUGUUCUUGUCUUCUUUAGAAGAGAAGAGACAAAUGUCUCUUGCUUUGUUUUUCCUUUUUAUCUCAAUAUUCCAACAUGCAGGUACAACGUCUAUCCGACCAGUUGAGCGAAGAAAUACUCCACCGAUCUCCGUCGAUGUCCAUAACCAGGAAGAAUCGGAAGAGAAGCCUCUCGUCUCUAAGAAAGGGCCACCUCUGUCACGCUAAUCGGAAUCCACACCACUCCAAUGCCGGAGAAGAUAGCUUGCCUCACUCCUGCUUCGUCUUGUAAAUCCAAGACCUACGAUAAAGAACAGAGGCGAAAACAAACUAGAUCUAAGAACUUGGAAAAAGCUUUAAAGAGAGAGAGAAAAAGGAACGGUAGAGGAACGAUUGUCCUUCCCGUUUGUGUUAUGUUGACUAAUUCAAUAUAUUUGGUUUAUAUCGAAUUUUUUACUUUAGUUGUACAUGAGCUUUGACAAAAAAAAAAAUUUUAAUUUAAAACAAAUUCUUCGUUAACAUCCCAAAUGGGCUUUGACAAAGAUUUGAUUUUCUUGUAUCAUUAUCUUCUAAGAAUAUAUGAUUUAGGCGU